AGAUUGAACGCUGGCGGCAGGCCUAACACAUGCAAGUCGAGCGGCAGCACGGGUACUUGUACCUGGUGGCGAGCGGCGGACGGGUGAGUAAUGCCUAGGAAUCUGCCUGAUAGUGGGGGGAUAACGUUCGGAAACGGACGCUAAUACCGCAUACGUCCUACGGGAGAAAGUGGGGGAUCUUCGGACCUCACGCUAUCAGAUGAGCCUAGGUCGGAUUAGCUAGUUGGUAGGUAAAGGCCUACCAAGGCUACGAUCCGUAACUGGUCUGAGAAGAUGAUCAGUCACACUGGAACUGAGACACGGCCCAGACUCCUACGGGAGGCAGCAGUGGGAAUAUUGGACAAGUGGGACGAAAGCCGUGACUCCAGCCAUGCCGCGUGUGUGAAGAAGAUC
Molecule: ribosomal RNA, 393 nt
Filed under: uncultured soil bacterium
Lineage: Bacteria
Description: bacterial SSU rRNA
Rfam family: Bacterial small subunit ribosomal RNA
Source: RNAcentral